This is a long non-coding RNA of Mus caroli (Ryukyu mouse), 371 nucleotides long. RefSeq lists it as uncharacterized. The record is from RefSeq and is a predicted model, not a curated record. Lineage: Eukaryota; Metazoa; Chordata; Mammalia; Rodentia; Muridae.
GACUCUUCGGUCCCUGAGAGAAGUGAGAGACAAGCACCUCAGACCCUUAGGCCCUCUGGACUCGCUUUCCAUCUAUCGCAUUCCUUCCAGUCCCCAAACGGCUACUUCUAAGGAAGAGAGGCAGAUGUGCUAACUAAGUCCUUACUUAAUCAUCCUGUGGCAGAAACUACCAUAAACUGGGAAGUACAGUCAAGGCUGUCACAGUCAAGUCUUUCAGAAUGAGCGGGAGCACGCACCCUUCUAGAGGGCCUGAGCACACUGCCAGCCCUCAUAGCAGGUGGCUCUCAACCACCUGGAGCCCUGACUCUAGGAGAUCCAACACUCACUCCUGACCUCCAAGGGCAACCACAUCCAAGUGGCAUAAAAACCUG